This 119-nucleotide ribosomal RNA is filed under the name Brassica napus (rape). The record is from RNAcentral. Lineage: Eukaryota; Viridiplantae; Streptophyta; Magnoliopsida; Brassicales; Brassicaceae.
GGGUGCGAUCAUACCAGCACUAAUGCACCGGAUCCCAUCAGAACUCCGCAGGGAAGCGUGCUUGGGUGAGAGUAGUACUAGGAUUGGUGACCUCCUAGGAAGUCCUCGUGUUGCACCUC